RNAcentral lists this long non-coding RNA (522 nucleotides) under Manacus vitellinus (golden-collared manakin). RNAcentral describes it as "lncRNA (ENSMVIG00005004579.1)". Lineage: Eukaryota; Metazoa; Chordata; Aves; Passeriformes; Pipridae. The record is from RNAcentral.
UUUCACAGAGCAUGGGCUUCUCACCGACUGCAGCACCACAAGUGACGUGCUGAGCAAUGUGGAGAGGGAUCUGCUCCGUGGAUAAUGCCUCUGGUGGUUCUGCACAGACGUAGGAUAAGGUCCAGCAGGAAGCAAGACUGAGGGAGCUGGAGAAGAAGGUUGCUCAGAGAAGGACAAGGGAUACAGUACGUUCAGCUGGGGGGUUUGUUGGGACCUGCAUACGCCCAGGAUGGAAAGGAUGAUGGGAACGUAAUUCAGUGGAUACCUUUGGAGCAGCAGUCGCUCUCUGGGCUGACAGAGGGACCAGAAAAAAUGCUCUUACACAUUACUUUGCUUCAGAUUUGUAAUGACUCCCACACGCGUUGGAUGUAGAAAAAGUGUGUCCAAAAGGAAACCUGAGGAUCUGGGGAGUAGGUAGGUGCUGAUAUUACUUGUAUCCACUCAUAGGCUACUGAUGAGAAUUAAAUUGAGGUCAGCCCUGGGCACAGAGGUUUAUUUGAUAUUGUUGGUGUUGAGAGUAUG